AUGAACGCUAGCUACAGGCUUAACACAUGCAAGUCGAGGGGCAGCAUGAAUCAAGCUUGCUUGAUUGAUGGCGACCGGCGCACGGGUGCGUAACACGUAUCCAAUCUACCCAUGGCUCAGGGAUAGCCUUUCGAAAGAAAGAUUAAUACCUGAUGGUUUCAUGAGCCCGCAUGGACUUAUGAAUAAAGAUUUAUCGGCGAUGGAUGAGGAUGCGUCCGAUUAGAUAGUAGGCGGGGUAACGGCCCACCUAGUCGACGAUCGGUAGGGGCUCUGAGAGGAGGAUCCCCCACAUUGGAACUGAGACACGGUCCAAACUCCUACGGGAGGCAGCAGUGAGGAAUAUUGGUCAAUGGGCGAGAGCCUGAACCAGCCAAGUAGCGUGAGGGAUGACUGCCCUAUGGGUUGUAAACCUCUUUUGUUUGGGAAUAAAGUGAGCCACGUGUGGCUUUUUGUAUGUACCUUACGAAUAAGCAUCGGCUAAUUCCGUGCCAGCCGCUGC
This 499-nucleotide ribosomal RNA is filed under the name uncultured bacterium. Its description in RNAcentral is "bacterial SSU rRNA". It matches the Rfam family "Bacterial small subunit ribosomal RNA", at positions 29 to 518 of the family's 1533-position model. The record is from RNAcentral.